RNAcentral lists this ribosomal RNA (468 nucleotides) under uncultured bacterium. RNAcentral's name for it is "partial 16S ribosomal RNA". It matches the Rfam family "Bacterial small subunit ribosomal RNA", at positions 28 to 507 of the family's 1533-position model. The record is from RNAcentral.
GACGAACGCUGGCGGCGUGCUUAACACAUGCAAGUCGAACGGAAAGGCCCUGCUUUUGUGGGGUGCUCGAGUGGCGAACGGGUGAGUAACACGUGAGUAACCUGCCCUUGACUUUGGGAUAACUUCAGGAAACUGGGGCUAAUACCGGAUAGGAGCUCCUGCUGCAUGGUGGGGGUUGGAAAGUUUCGGCGGUUGGGGAUGGACUCGCGGCUUAUCAGCGUGUUGGUGGGGUAGUGGCUUACCAAGGCUUUGACGGGUAGCCGGCCUGAGAGGGUGACCGGCCACAUUGGGACUGAGAUACGGCGCAGACUCCUACGGGAGGCAGCAGUGGGGAAUAUUGCACAAUGGGCGGAAGCCUGAUGCAGCAACGCCGCGUGCGGGAUGACGGCCUUCGGGUUGUAAACCGCUUUCGCCUGUGACGAAGCGUGAGUGACGGUAAUGGGUAAAGAAGCACCGGCUAACUACGUG